ACCACAAGGCUCAGGGACUGAAAAGCAGGGUAAGCGGCCGCAGCCAUGAUGGUUAGACCCGAGUCGCCAACGGUACGGUGUCGGGCGGCCGCGGGCUGGUCUGCGGCAUUUGGGACCGGGCAAAAAACGUGUUUUAUUGUCAUCAUAAAAAUAAGAGUUGGGUGGACUAGUGAUCACACUGCGUUGGUGACUGAAAAGGUUAUUUAUGUGACUGCUUUUUGCAAACCUACGUGAUCGCAAGUAACAAAAAGGGACCAACGGGAAGAAGUAGGUAAAUUUCAAGGCGAAAGCGGGGACACUUGGACCACUGCAGGCUUUUUUUGUUUGUUUUGGUGCUUCUGCUAGGCGAAGAUACGAUGGGGGUCUUCCCCUUCGCCAUUUUACCCAUUCGGAAGGAACUGAGAUAAGUGCUUUUCAACCAACCUUCGUCCUUUUUUUAAACAUAAAAUGGCCUCAGAGAAGGUUCCCAAAGCACAGCCGCCAAAAACAACCUAAGAAACCCC
RNAcentral lists this long non-coding RNA (503 nucleotides) under Homo sapiens (human). RNAcentral describes it as "non-protein coding lnc-TSHR-2:6". The record is from RNAcentral. Lineage: Eukaryota; Metazoa; Chordata; Mammalia; Primates; Hominidae.